This 496-nucleotide ribosomal RNA is filed under the name uncultured bacterium. RNAcentral's name for it is "partial 16S ribosomal RNA". It matches the Rfam family "Bacterial small subunit ribosomal RNA", at positions 29 to 507 of the family's 1533-position model. The record is from RNAcentral.
AUGAACGCUGGCGGCGUGCCUAAUACCUGCAAGUCGAGCGAACAGACGAGGAGCUUGCUCCUCUGACGUUAGCGGCGGACGGGUGAGUAACACGUGGAUAACCUACCUAUAAGACUGGGAUAACUUCGGGAAACCGGAGCUAAUACCGGAUAAUAUAUUGAACCGCAUGGUUCCAUAGUGUAAGACGGUUUUGCUGUCACUUAUAGAUGGAUCCGCGCCGCAUUAGCUAGUUGGUAAGGUAACGGCUUACCAAGGCAACGAUGCGUAGCCGACCUGAGAGGGUGAUCGGCCACACUGGAACUGAGACACGGUCCAGACUCCUACGGGAGGCAGCAGUAGGGAAUCUUCCGCAAUGGGCGAAAGCUUGACGGAGCAACGCCGCGUGAGUGAUGAAGGUCUUCGGAUCGUAAAACUCUGUUAUUAGGGAAGAACAAAUGUGUAAGUAACUAUGCACGUCUUGACGGUACCUAAUCAGAAAGCCACGGCUAACUACGUG